RNAcentral lists this ribosomal RNA (292 nucleotides) under uncultured bacterium. RNAcentral's name for it is "partial 16S ribosomal RNA". It matches the Rfam family "Bacterial small subunit ribosomal RNA", at positions 505 to 796 of the family's 1533-position model. The record is from RNAcentral.
GUGCCAGCAGCCGCGGUAAUACGGAGGGUGCUAGCGUUGUUCGGAAUUACUGGGCGUAAAGCGCGUGUAGGCGGUUGGUUAAGUUCCGUGUGAAAGCCCUGGGCUCAACCCAGGAAGUGCGCGGAAAACUGGCUAACUGGAGUGUCGGAGAGGAUGGCGGAAUUCCCGGUGUAGAGGUGAAAUUCGUAGAUAUCGGGAGGAACACCUGUGGCGAAGGCGGCCAUCUGGACGAUGACUGACGCUGAGACGCGAAAGCGUGGGUAGCAAACAGGAUUAGAUACCCUGGUAGUCC